AACGAACGCUGGCGGCAGGCCUAACACAUGCAAGUCGAACGAAAUUAUGGUUUUCGGAUUAUAAUUUAGUGGCGGACGGGUGCGUAACACGUGGGAAUCUACCUUAUAGUGUGGGAUAACUUCUGGAAACGGGAGCUAAUACCGCAUACGCCCUUUGGGGGAAAGAUUUAUCGCUAUAAGAUGAGCCCGCGUUGGAUUAGGUAGUUGGUGGGGUAAGAGCCCACCAAGCCGAUGAUCCAUAGCUGGUUUGAGAGGAUGACCAGCCACACUGGGACUGAGACACGGCCCAGACUCCUACGGGAGGCAGCAGUGGGGAAUCUUAGACAAUGGGGGCAACCCUGAUCUAGCCAUGCCGCGUGAGUGAAGAAGGCCUUAGGGUUGUAAAGCUCUUUCACCUGUGAGGAUGAUGACAGUAGCAGGAUAAGAAGGACCGGCUAACUCCG
Molecule: ribosomal RNA, 443 nt
Filed under: uncultured Alphaproteobacteria bacterium
Lineage: Bacteria; Pseudomonadati; Pseudomonadota; Alphaproteobacteria
Description: bacterial SSU rRNA
Rfam family: Bacterial small subunit ribosomal RNA
Source: RNAcentral